RNAcentral lists this ribosomal RNA (730 nucleotides) under Macrobrachium lepidactyloides. Its description in RNAcentral is "bacterial SSU rRNA". It matches the Rfam family "Eukaryotic small subunit ribosomal RNA", at positions 547 to 1244 of the family's 1831-position model. The record is from RNAcentral. Lineage: Eukaryota; Metazoa; Arthropoda; Malacostraca; Decapoda; Palaemonidae.
AUUGGAGGGCAAGUCUGGUGCCAGCAGCCGCGGUAAUUCCAGCUCCAAUAGCGUAUAUUAAAGUUGUUGCGGUUAAAAAGCUCGUAGUUGGAGUUCAGUUGCGGACUGGGGUGGGAGGUCACCGCCCGGUGCUUCCCCUCUAGGCUCCGAACAGCUUCCGUGAGUGGAAGCCAAGCCGGCUUAGCCGGGGUGCUCUUUACCGAGUGUCCCGCGCAACCGGCCAGUUCACCUUGAAUAAAUGAGAGUGCUCAAAGCAGGCUACUCUGGAAUACAAUGCCCGAAUGUUACCUGCAUGGAAUGAUGGAAGAUGAUCUCGGUUGCAUUUUGUUGGUGGUGGCAGCCCGAGGUAAUGAUAAAGAGGGACUGUCGGGGGCAUCCGUACUACGACGCGAGAGGUGAAAUUCAGUGACCGUCGUAGGACGAACAACAGCGAAAGCAUUUGCCAAGAAUGUCUUCGUUGAUCAAGAACGAAAGUUAGAGGAUCGAAGGCGAUCAGAUACCGCCCUAGUUCUAACCCUAAACGAUGCUGACUAGCAAUUCGCCGUCGUUAUUCCCAUGACGUGGCGAGACGCCCCCGGGAAACCUCAAGUCUUUGAGUUCCGGGGGUAGUAUGGUUGCAAAAGUGAAACUUAAAGGAAUUGACGGAAGGGCACCACCAGGAGUGGAGCCUGCGGCUUAAUUUGACUCAACACGGGAAACCUGACCAGGCCCGGACACCAGAAGGAUUGAC